RNAcentral lists this ribosomal RNA (119 nucleotides) under Lepisosteus oculatus (spotted gar). Lineage: Eukaryota; Metazoa; Chordata; Actinopteri; Semionotiformes; Lepisosteidae. The record is from RNAcentral.
GCCAGCAGCCAUAUCACUCUGCAACUCACAACUGGCAGCCCACUGAAGCUCAGCAGCUGCGAGCCUGGUCAGUACCUGGAUGGGAGACCUCCUGGGAAAAGCUAAGGCUGCUGCUGGAA